AACAGGAUUAGAUACCCUGGUAGUCCACGCUGUAAACGAUGUCGAUUUGGAGGUUGUGCCCUUGAGGCGUGGCUUCCGGAGCUAACGCGUUAAAUCGACCGCCUGGGGAGUACGGCCGCAAGGUUAAAACUCAAAUGAAUUGACGGGGGCCCGCACAAGCGGUGGAGCAUGUGGUUUAAUUCGAUGCAACGCGAAGAACCUUACCUACUCUUGACAUCCAGAGAACUUUCCAGAGAUGGAUUGGUGCCUUCGGGAACUCUGAGACAGGUGCUGCAUGGCUGUCGUCAGCUCGUGUUGUGAAAUGUUGGGUUAAGUCCCGCAACGAGCGCAACCCUUAUCCUUUGUUGCCAGCGGUUCGGCCGGGAACUCAAAGGAGACUGCCAGUGAUAAACUGGAGGAAGGUGGGGAUGACGUCAAGUCAUCAUGGCCCUUACGAGUAGGGCUACACACGUGCUACAAUGGCAUAUACAAAGAGAAGCGACCUCGCGAGAGCAAGCGGACCUCAUAAAGUACGUCGUAGUCCGGAUUGGAGUCUGCAACUCGACUCCAUGAAGUCGGAAUCGCUAGUAAUCGUAGAUCAGAAUGCUACGGUGAAUACGUUCCCGGGCCUUGUACACACCGCCCGUCACACCAUGGGAGUGGGUUACAAAAGAAGUAGGUAGCUUAACCUUCGGGAGGGCGCUUACCACUUUGUGAUUCAUGACUGGGGUGAAGUCGUAACAAGGUAACC
RNAcentral lists this ribosomal RNA (730 nucleotides) under uncultured bacterium. RNAcentral describes it as "bacterial SSU rRNA". It matches the Rfam family "Bacterial small subunit ribosomal RNA", at positions 771 to 1501 of the family's 1533-position model. The record is from RNAcentral.